This 65-nucleotide transfer RNA is filed under the name Diaphanes sp. FM11. RNAcentral describes it as "tRNA-Ala". The record is from RNAcentral. Lineage: Eukaryota; Metazoa; Arthropoda; Insecta; Coleoptera; Lampyridae.
GGGAUAAUAGUUAAAAUUAACAUUAAAUUUGCAAUUUAAAAUAAUUGAUUAUUCAAUUUAUCUUA